GACGAACGCUGGCGGCGUGCCUAACACAUGCAAGUCGAGCGAUCUUCUUCGGAAGGGAGCGGCGGACGGGUGAGUAACGCGUGGGUAACCUGCCCUGUACACACGGAUAACAUACCGAAAGGUAUGCUAAUACGGGAUAACAUAAGAAAGUCGCAUGGCUUUCUUAUCAAAGCUUUUGCGGUACAGGAUGGACCCGCGUCUGAUUAGCUAGUUGGUAAGGUAACGGCUUACCAAGGCGACGAUCAGUAGCCGACCUGAGAGGGUGAUCGGCCACAUUGGAACUGAGACACGGUCCAAACUCCUACGGGAGGCAGCAGUGGGGAAUAUUGCACAAUGGGCGAAAGCCUGAUGCAGCAACGCCGCGUGAGCGAUGAAGGCCUUCGGGUCGUAAAGCUCUGUCCUCAAGGAAGAUAAUGGCGGUACUUGAGGAGGAAGCCCCGGCUAACUACGUGCCAGCAGCCGCGGUAAUACGUAGGGGGCUAGCGUUAUCCGGAAUUACUGGGCGUAAAGGGUGCGUAGGCGGUCUUUCAAGUCAGAAGUGAAAGGCUACGGCUCAACCGUAGUAAGCUUUUGAAACUGUAAGACUUGAGUGCAGGAGAGGAGAGUGGAUUCCUAGUGUAGCGGUGAAAUGCGUAGAUAUUAGGAGGACACCAGUUGCGAAGGCGGCUCUCUGGACU
Molecule: ribosomal RNA, 677 nt
Filed under: uncultured Clostridium sp.
Lineage: Bacteria; Bacillati; Bacillota; Clostridia; Eubacteriales; Clostridiaceae
Description: bacterial SSU rRNA
Rfam family: Bacterial small subunit ribosomal RNA
Source: RNAcentral